CGUAGGCGGCCUGCUAAGUCGAACGUGAAAUCCCCGGGCUCAACCCGGGAACUGCGUCCGAUACUGGUGGGCUUGAAUCCGGGAGAGGGAUGUGGAAUUCCAGGUGUAGCGGUGAAAUGCGUAGAUAUCUGGAGGGAACACCGGUGGCGAAGGCGGCAUCCUGGACCGGCAUUGACGCUGAGGCGCGAAAGCCAGGGGAGCAACG
This 205-nucleotide ribosomal RNA is filed under the name uncultured bacterium. RNAcentral's name for it is "partial 16S ribosomal RNA". It matches the Rfam family "Bacterial small subunit ribosomal RNA", at positions 570 to 773 of the family's 1533-position model. The record is from RNAcentral.